GAUGAACGCUGGCGGCGUGCCUAAUACAUGCAAGUCGAGCGAACAGACGAGGAGCUUGCUCCUCUGACGUUAGCGGCGGACGGGUGAGUAACACGUGGAUAACCUACCUAUAAGACUGGGAUAACUUCGGGAAACCGGAGCUAAUACCGGAUAAUAUAUUGAACCGCAUGGUUCAAUAGUGAAAGACGGUUUUGCUGUCACUUAUAGAUGGAUCCGCGCCGCAUUAGCUAGUUGGUAAGGUAACGGCUUACCAAGGCAACGAUGCGUAGCCGACCUGAGAGGGUGAUCGGCCACACUGGAACUGAGACACGGUCCAGACUCCGACGGGAGGCAGCAGUAGGGAAUCUUCCGCAAUGGGCGAAAGCCUGACGGAGCAACGCCGCGUGAGUGAUGAAGGUCUGCGGAUCGUAAAACGCUGUUAUUAGGGAAGAACAAAUGUGUAAGUAACGAUGCACGUCUGGACGGUACCUAAGCAGAAAGCCACGGCUAACUACGU
RNAcentral lists this ribosomal RNA (496 nucleotides) under uncultured bacterium. Its description in RNAcentral is "partial 16S ribosomal RNA". It matches the Rfam family "Bacterial small subunit ribosomal RNA", at positions 28 to 506 of the family's 1533-position model. The record is from RNAcentral.